RNAcentral lists this long non-coding RNA (21936 nucleotides) under Prunus persica (peach). RNAcentral describes it as "long non-coding RNA (PPER_LNC001778)". Lineage: Eukaryota; Viridiplantae; Streptophyta; Magnoliopsida; Rosales; Rosaceae. The record is from RNAcentral.
ACAAAAUGUCCUUCUCUAAGGUUGUUCCUCAGUUGACAACUAUGACAUAUCCAAAAUCAGAGCAAUCCAACUACUCUAGCUAUGUCUGUGGUAAGCAUGUUCGUCACUUCCUCGGAUUCUGCUGUUAUUACUGUACAGUACCUUAUUCACUCUUGUAUGUCACUUUUCCCUUGCUCAGAUGACAAAACUUCCUUCAUGAAGGUUGUUCAGAAGUCUUUUCGGCAGUGGUACACCUGAAACAAGCUUUUGUUAGUUUUCAAGUGUUGUUUGAGUUGGUUAUUUCUCUGUGGCAGCUUCACCCAGGAUUUCGGACCAAUAUUAAGGUAAAGUUUUAAGAUGCUUCGAUUUCUGGAAAUUUGUGUCUGAGUUGUUGGCCCAAGCCGGUUUUGAAAGUGGAAGGACCAAAAGAUAAUUUAAGUAAGUGUAAGUGCCAAAGUGCAAAUAAAGGAAAAUGUAAGGACCAAAGUAAAUUAUGGAUAAGUCUGAAAACCAGAAUGUAUUGGAAAAAGUAUAGGGGCCACUGUGAAAAUAAAGGUAAGUAUAAGGACAAAAUGUGUCAGGAAUGCUCAACCCAAACCUGACCCGUUUAAUAAACGUGUUAUGCACGGGUUGACUUGUUAAGUUCUCGUGCGGGUUUCGGGUUGUGUUGAGUUGACCCGCUAAGUGGUAGCAACUUAAAAACUUUUAUAAAAAAAAAUUAGAAAAAUGAAGAAUAAACAAAUAAAUGGGUUAGUGGGUUGGCGGGGUACAAGGGUUUUUUAGCGGGUUGGCGAGUUACAUAAGUAUUUUAGCGGGUUGGCGGGUUGACCCUCCAUAACUCGUUUUGUUAAACGGGUUAUAUAGGUAUUUCAACGGGUUGACAGGUUGACCCAAAACCUACCCGUUUAUUAAACGGGUCAUGGCGGGUUGACCUGAAAAUUACUCAAAUUUUAAUCGUGCGGGUUGAACUUGCUAAAUUCAAUUGCAGGUUUCGAGUCGUGUAACGGGUCGUACCCGAAAUUGCCACCCCUAGUUAUAAUGACUAAAUUGCAAAUAAGGAUUUUUAGUAACAUUUUUUAAAUGUUCGACUAGGAAUCAGUUGCCCAAGCAAGAACAAUUUGAGUUCAAAGGUGCAUAAUGCAAGUGAGACAUCAACUUUGGAUUCUAGAUAGGAGGAUUCACUCUCGGACAUGUAUUCUUGUGUAUGUAUGACAUAGUAUAUAUUUUUGUGUGUGAAAACUGCAAUGUUUGUGAUUGCCUAAUUAACACUUUAGUUUUUCUUUAUUUUCUUUACUAUUUAUUUAUUUUUGUUGGGUGAGCAAAACAUGAGUGGUUCCUUUACACUUUAGUAGGAAAACUCUUGUUUGUAACUUUUGUAAUAUUCUUUCUUUAUUUUGGGUAUUAAGGGCCGGUUUUUUACUUUCUUCGGUUCCAUUGCUUUUCUUCUUUUUCUUGUUCUAUUUCUCUCAUCUUACAACACAAAUAUUUAUACAUCGAUCUUUAUUUCUCCAGUCUUUGUAGGUAGUUAUUGUAUGGCUUUAGUGGUAUACUGGGCAUUCGGAUUGCGGAUAGUGCUAAUUUGCCGCUAACUCCAGGUUUGUUUUUCUCAGACAUUUUAAAUUUGACUUUUGUACUUUUGUUUUUUGUUUUUUAACUAUGAGGGAGAAAUCAAAUAGUGCUCAUUUGACGUUGAUUACUUUGAUAAAAAUCACUUUCUUUGACAACGAAGUGUUAGAGUAAAUAUACAUUUAUAUAUAAAAGGGUUGCCAUAACUAUUGAUGACAAAAAUUAGCAUAAACUGUACAGAAAUUGCUCCCAAAUUCUUUGAAACCACUGUGAAGCUGAUCUACUACAAAGAACAUUUGAUUUUUUUUUUUUAAAAAAAAAACCGUGCAUGCUAAACUUUUGUUUUAGGGGUUCACAAAAAAGUGGUGGGCCUAUUUGGGAGUGCUAAAAGCGCUUUCUGACAAACAAAGCACUUUUGACAAUGUUUGGCAUAAAAUGUUAUAAGUGCUUCUAGGUCGUGGAAGCGCUUUCUAGAGAAGAACCUACUAUGUGCUUUUUCAUGAAGUACUUACAAGUGCUUUUCUAGGAAGCAAUUGGAUUUCUUAUGAAAAUUUUAACAUCUUUAAAAGCGCUUUUGCCAGAAGCCCUUGUGAGCAGAAUUGCUUUUUAGAGAAGCAGUCCCAAACAAGUGUUAGAAGUGCUUCUUUCCAACAAGUAGGUUAAAGGUUUGAGUCCCCUUUGGCACAUACUUUUUGAAACAUUCUUCACAACCAGUUCCGUUCGAUUUGUUGACCAAAACCAAAAAUUAAGUGAAAAAAUCCAAACCAACCUAUUCAGUUUGGUCGGUUUGGCAGUCCAUCGAUUUUAAAUUGCAGCCCUAGGUAAAAUGGGAUAUGGGGUGACAACUAUGGUGAGAUAGAGGGUGGGGUGUACACACACAUACUUGUAUGGAUUAAUCGCAAACCCAAUAAUACACAAUCUACUCAUAAGACAAAUAGGGUGUUUAAGAUUUAAGGACUAGUCUUCAUUAUUGCGACUUAAUAUUCUUGUUUGACAUAUAAGUACAAUUUCCAUAAAAAACUAUUGAUUGAUCGCAUUUAGUAAAUAAACCAUCUAUCGAGCACAUGCAUACUUUUUUUAGUGUCUCGUCAUUAAUUUAAUUUAAUUUCUAAGAACAUCUACAAUCAUGCUCUCUAUUUUUUAGUUAAAAUAUAGCUAAAAACACACAAAAAUUAUUUUGGGAGCUCUCUAUAAAAUUUGAACUCCAAUCAUACUCCCUAGUUUAGGGAGUCAUAAAUACUAUAAAUAUUUUUGAUUCAAUGUAAUUGGUCAAUCUCUAUAAAAGAAAAUAUAAAAUUAUUUAGUAUUAAUUAAAAGUUUAAAAUAUGCAUAAAACAAAGCGGCAUUAAAUUAUAGGAAGUCACUAAGAGUCCUUUCUCUCUCUUCAGAUUUAGGAGCUCCUAGAGGUCUCCCUAUUUUAGGAGGUGGAUAGGGAGCUUGGUUGGAAUUGUAAUUUUCCAAUUCAACUCAAAAAUUUGUCCGAUGAGGUGGGUUAGGGAGCCCAUUGUGGAUGCUCAAGUAAAUAUAGGUAAUAUCCAUAAAAGAUUACAUAAAAUGAUUAGGUUUUAUGGGAUACUUCCCACACAAUAUAUAGUGGAACAAUAUUAUAGGUGGCCCUAUGAGUUGGGCUUCACUAACCAUCUAUUGAUCGAGUGUUUAUGGUUGGCUCGACUGAACUCAUUUUUUAAGGGAGGUUAGAGCAUCUACAAUGGACUUCCUAAAAUACUUUUUUAGACAAAUUUUAAAUUUAAGGAGAGUCCCUUUAAUUUAAUACUCCUUUAUUUUAAUAGUAUUUUAACCAUUUAUUUAAUGUCAACUAUUUUUUGUUGUGGCUUUUGUGUAUGCACUUUAUUCAAAAAUUGAAUUAAAAAAUAUUAAUAAUAUUUCUGACUCUUUAAAUUAAGUAGUAUGGUUGGAGUUGAAAUUUGUUAGAGAACUCCUAAAAUAAUUUUCUAGCAUUUUUAGCUAAAUUUUAAUUAAAAAAAUAUUGAGCAUGAUUGUGGAUGCUCUUAAACUCAAGUUUAGCCUGAGUUUAUUAAAAAAUAAACCAAAUGCAAAUAAGAAUGAUAAUAUAUAUAUCUAUAUAUAUAAAGCAAAAGUCUAAGAAUAGGGAAAUAUUCAAAAUACUAGAAAAUGCCCUUGGUUAAUUCAAACAUUAGGAAUUGAAAUUAUUAUUUAAAUGAGGAUAAUAUGGUAAAUUCACAUUUUUUUCAUAUUAAAAAAAAAUAAAAAACAAAAUUAGAUAAUAGGUCCUAUUUUUAUGGAAUACUAGCCCCUUGGGCACCACGCAUGUGCCAAUUGGUUUUCUUGUUUUAUUUUAUUUUUAGAAUUAAGAAAAGAUAACAUGGGUAGUUAUGUUCCAUAAAAAUAGGACAUAUUAUCUGAUUUUAUUUUUAAUUUUUUUAAUAUAAAAAAAUGUGAAUUUACCAUGUUAUCCUCAUUUUAUUAAUAAUUUCAAUUCUUAAUAUUUGAAUUAACCAAGGGCAUUUUCUGGUAUUUUGAAUGUUUCACCAUUCUCUGUCUUUUGCUUUAUAUAUAUAGAUAACUACUCAUGUUAUCUUUUCUUAAUUCUAAAAAUAAAAUAAAAAAUAAAAAAUAAAACCAAUUGGCACAUGCUCACGCAUGUGACAAGGGGCUAAGCUAAAAGACCGAUCAUCCCUGUGAGGAAAAUCAAUUGGCACAUGCUCACACAUGCUCACGCAAGCUAUUUCAUAAAAAGAUGUGAGCUGCUAACGAGAUUUGUCAGCUGGGCACACCAAAGCUCAAGCUUGGGUCAUUUUAACAAGGGGAGUAUUUCACUUAGACUCCCUGAAGUUUGGUAUAACAACCCAAACACCCCAAGAACCUAAGCCCAGAAAACCACCUUACUCUCGUCGCUCAUAAUCAUCGUUUCAAACCUGCUGUGAUUGACAUAGAAACUAAAGUUUAGUUGCAUAUCUAGAAACACUUAGUUUCAAAUCUAAUGAAACCAAAUCACCAUCCAUAAAACAACCUGAAAUUAGAUGGGAGGAUUUCAAAUUAAAUUGAAACAGAGCAUCGCGUCGGUUGUAUAUCAUUAUCAUAUGAAUCCACUGAUGAUGGGAUGAUUGAGAGAUCUAAGAAUCCCAUUACCUUGAGCAAAUCAAGUGUUGACUUGACUUUUUCAUAGUUAAAAUUGUAAGUGUUGAACCGCUUGCAUUUUUCAUUUGAGAAUUUCCUUGGUCUCUUUUUUUUUUGACAACCCAGAACUCCACUUCCAGCUUUGCUGAUUCAGGUCCCAAACUGCCGAACCCUACAAUCUUUGGCGGGCAAGGAAACCCCAAACAGGCGGUUCCCCAACCACUACAUGACAUCUUUCCAAUUAAUUGUAAGAUUGUAAAGCCUGACAUUUAAGACCAAACUUUAACGAAACAAUAUCUUAUAAAAAGAUGUGAGUUUCUAACGGCCUUUGUGAGCUCAAUCUUGGGUCACCUUAACAAGCCUUAUCUUUUAUUCCAACCAAGCUUCAACCAGCCAAAAACUAGCUGAACAUGAGUCCGACUCAAACUGUAUCGAUUUGAUUUAGAGCCAUAGUGAUUGUACAUUUUAAAAUUGAGCUAAAAUGAUAACAAUAAAAUCAAUGACUGGUAUCCAUAAAUAAUGAGUUGGAAUUCGACCCAAAAUUGUGCACAUUUUACUGUUUGUUCUUGUAACUAUGACAAUGCAUUUUUUUUUUUUUUUAAAUGUUAUGAGACUUGAUUGGUGGGGUUUUGGUUGGUUUACCUUACUUUUUCAUAAUAAAAAUUGUAGGUGUGGAAUCGCUUGCAACAGUUUCAUUUGGUUUGAGAAUUUCCUUAGUCUCUGGUGGCUUUAUAUAAAAAGGCAACAGAAAAUGGAAGAGAUUGGUGCUUCAAUUGUAUCUAAAAUUGUAGAAGAACCAGUGGCACUAAUUGGGAGACAACUCAGCUAUCUAAUAUACUACGAUUCUAACAUAGAAAGUCUAAAGGAUGUGCUUAAAAACCUUGAUGACAAGAAAAAUGAUGUGCAAAGAUCUGUGGAUGCUGCAAAAAGGAAUGGUGCAAUCAUUAAAGAUCAAGUUCAGAGUUGGUUGGAGGAAGUAAGCAAAAUAUUUCGUGAAGCGGAAGAACUUGAAACCAAACUCAACAUGCAAAGGCGGUGCCCAAGUUUGAAAUCGCGGUAUUCUCUGAGUAGGAAAGCCAAGAAGAUUGCUAAGUGUGCCCUUGAUCUCAAACUAGACGAAGGACUGAGUAAUAAUGUUGCCAAUCCUGCACCUCUGCAACAGCUGGGGUCAAUUAUCUCUAGUGAAGGUUUUAAGGGUUUUGAAUCCAGAAAAGAUGUCAUGAAUGAUGUGCUUAGUGCUUUGAGGAAUGAAAAGACAAGAAUAUUUGGGAUUUGCGGGAUGGGAGGUGUGGGUAAAACCACAAUGGUGAGAGAAAUCAAAGAAAUCAUCAAGAGAUUACAAGGAACAAAUAAGCUGUUUGAUGAUGUUGUGAUGUCAACUAUAUCCGCAACUGUAAACAUUAGGAAAAUUCAAACUGAAAUUGCAGAGUCACUAGAUAUGAAAUUGGUCGAGGAAAGUGAAUCUAUAAGAGCACAAAGGCUACAUGAGAGAAUCAAGCAGAGUAAAAGAAUCCUGAUUAUAUUGGAUGAUGUAUGGUCAGAGCUUAAAUUACAGGAUGUAGGAAUCCCUUUUGGUGUUGGACCUACAACUAAUCAAGUUCAUGAAGGGUGCAAAAUUUUGUUGACAUCUCGAAAUGAAGAAGUUUGUAAAGUAAUGGGUUGUAAAGAUGACAUUUUUGGAGUCCAAGCCUUAAAUAAAGAAGAAGCAUGGGAGCUUUUCAGGGCGACUGUAGGUGAAUCCUUGGACAAUAAUCCUGAUUUGUCUCAUGUUGCAAAAUUGAUUGUUGAUGAAUGCAAAGGUUUACCCAUUGCUAUCAUAACUGUUGGGAAAGCGCUUCUACCAAGUAAUGGCAAGCAUGAAUGGAAUACUGCCUUGCAAGAACUGAAAAAUUCCCUCCCUGAAAACAUCCCUGGAAUGGAACCUGAGGUUUAUUCUUGCAUAAAAUUGAGUUAUGAUAAAUUGGAUAGUGAUGAAGUCAAGUCAUGCUUUUUACUUUGUUGCUUAUUUCCAGAAGAUUAUGAUGUUCCGAUUGAGUAUUUGGUGAGGUAUGGGUUGGGUCGAGCAACUUUCAGAAACACCAACACAGUCGAAGAUGUAAGAAACAAAGUGCAUUCUUUCGUUGGACAACUAAAAAGAAGGUAUUUGUUGCUGGAUAGUGAAAAGGAAGAAUGUAUCAAAAUGCAUGACAUAGUUCGUGAUGUUGCUAUAUCAAUUGCCUCAAAAGAUCCUCACAGAUUUAUGGUAAGAUCAUUUGAUGCUGAAGGUGGAGGUGGAGGACGACCAGGGGUACAAAAAGUUACAAACCAAGAACAUUGCAGUGCAAUUUCAUUAAUUGAUGUUAAAUUGGAUGAAAAUAUUACUGAUGGUUUGGAGUGCCCCAAACUUGAGCUUCUACAACUGAAAAAUUCCUCAAGUAGUUCACAAUAUUCGAACCACUUUAAAAGAAUGGAAGAACUCAAGGUUUUGGCUUUCUUAGAGGUGAAUAUGUCAAGCUAUUUGGCCUCGGAAAAAUCUCUACUGCUUGGAGAACCCAAGUACCUUCAUACCUUGUGUCUAGAGGAUUGCAAAUUGGGAGACAUAUCCCAUGUCAUUGGAGGAUUGGAGAAUUUGGAGAUCCUCAGCUUUGCUCGCUCUGAAAUCAGUAAGUUGCCUAGAGAAAUAGGACAUCUUCAUCGGUUAAGGAUGCUGGAUACAACAGAUUGUGAAGGACUUGAAGAAAUUCCUCAUGGUGUCUUAUCCAAGUUAAGGAGAUUAGAAGAGUUGUACAUGGCAGAAAGCUUUCUCAAUUGGGCUCCAGCAACAGGAAGCAAGGAUGAAACGAGCAUGGCAAGCCUUGAUGAGGUGACGUCUCUAUCUGAUCAUUUAAAUGUCUUAGCCAUAAAAAUCCAUGAUGUUCAGAUGUUGCGGAAUGAUGAGUUUCUUUUAAGAAGUCAGCCUAUAAGAUUUCAUGUAUCUAUCAAUAUUAGUUGGUCAUACAAAAAAGAGAGUUUCAAGAAUCGAAUGCGUGGUUAUCUGUUCGAAAAUAGUUUGAUGCUUCGUGGUGAUGUAAAGGAAUAUUUGGAGAUUGGAGCAGUUAGAUACUUCUUGAAGCAAUCUGAAGACUUAAGCCUACGCCACACAUACAAUUUAAAGUAUGUCAUCGAGAAGUUAGACGAUCAAGGGGGCUUUCAACACUUGAAAGUGUUAUCAAUCAUGUAUGACAACAACAUAGAGUAUCUUAUGAAUGGAACAGAUUGGACUCGUCGUGGUCAACCUGCCUUUCCCAUCUUAAAAUCAGCUACCUUUGAGUAUGUUGACAAACUAAAAGUUUUGUGUUGUGGCAAACUACCAGACAAGCGCUCUUUUAUGAACCUGAAAUCUAUUGUAAUUGACAAUUGUCAUGAGUUAAAAUAUGUCUUUUCACUAUCCGUAGCACAAAACUUGGUACAACUCCAGAAAUUAAUUGUUAAAAACUGUCAGAAAGUGGAAGAUAUCAUAUCAAGGGAAAGAAUGGAAGAUGAUAAUGCAUCUCACAGGAUAAGUUUCCCAAGAUUAACUGUUUUGAAGCUUUAUGAUCUACCCAAGCUCCUUGGUUUCUACACGGGAAACCAACGGGACUCCACCUAUGAGGUAUGUAUGUAUAAACUUUUGAUGCUUGAAUGGUAUAUACUUGUUACUCUUUGGAAUAUGCUACUUUUGUUGUGUUUAAUACUGUCGUUCCAGUUCUAGAAGUUGGUUUGGGUAAAACUUAAUCAUUUUUGGUAUGUUAGAGAUUUUAGAUGCAUUUCAAUUUUUUGCAACUAUUUUAUAGAUAUUUAAUAAAAAAAUAUUUCUGAAAAAAUCACUUGAAUCAUAUAUCAUUUGACCACUCAAUUAAAUUAUUGUGAUUUUAGUACUUUCUUGAAGCAUUGUAUUCAUCAAUUUUGUAGAACAUAAUUAGAUAUCGAAACGGUUUCCGAAUUGUCUAAUUUUUUGUAAGUAUAAUCUAUGAAUAUAGACUUGAGAAAUAGGCGGUUUGGAUAAUUGAAAAACAAUUUGUAGUGUGUUUAGAAUGUCCCUUAAUAGAAGGGGACUAUAUUUCUAAAUCUUCACACCUAUGAUUUUCAUUUGAAAAUUUAAGUUGAGAUGUCCUUAGAGUUAAAAAUGUUUAUUGGUAAAUAGUAAUUGACGGUAGGAAAAGGGGAGUAUUAUUAUUUCUCAAAAUUUAUGACACAGGAUGUGGGAAUAUAAUUAAGGCAAUUUGGAAAUAAGACAAAUUGUGGAAGUUCAUUACUUAUGUAUUUCUUUCUUUUUGGCUCAUGUGUAAGUUCAUUAUUUAUGUAGAAUUAAUUAAUGUACAGAUUAUAAAGCCCAAUGAUGAAAGUGUGAAUAAGACGAAAGAGACUAGGAAUGACAAUCAAGUUGCUGGGUCGACCUCAUCUAGAUCAAAAGUAGCACAAGUGGGAGCAAGUUGUAAUGCUCUAUUUCCUUCAAAUUGCAUUUCAUGGUUACCAAAUCUAGAGAAACUAGUGUUGAUAGAUUCGACAAGUGAGCAAGGCUCAGAAGAACUAGUAUUCAAUGUGGUAUUUGAUUUAGAAGGGCAUAAUUCAGCAUUUUCUCAAUUACAAACAUUCCAAGUGUUUUCUUUAUAUGGAGUUGAACAUUUGUGGAAGAACGUUCAACCUGGAUUCCAAGGUUUUCAAAAUGUAAGAUCUUUAGAUAUUCAAGAAUGUAGGAGUCUAAAAUAUCUAUGCCCUUAUGAAAUUUACAAGCUCCUUGUGAAUCUCGAAGAAGUCCAAAUAUAUGAAUGUGAGAAUAUGGAAACUAUAGUACAUGAAGAAGGGAAAGAGACAGGUGGCAGUGGCUCGAUGACUUUGUUUCCCAAACUAAUUAAUAACAUCAUACUAGACAACUUGCCAAACCUCGAGAGAUUUUGCCCUGAUGCCCAUUCUUUUGCAUGGUCCUCCUCCACGAGAGUUCUGCGUGUGGAAUUUUGCCCCAAAUUAAAGACAUUGGGUUUUGAACUAGUAAGCAAAAAUCUACCUGCAGCAGUUGCAGAGAAUUUGAGUGAUGAUCAUGUAAGAGGUAGAGAAGAAUUAGGAUCUGACUGCGCAUCAUCAACUGGAUCUGGAUUUGGAUUUGGAUGUGCGCCACUAGUCUGCUUACAAAGUCGUCCAUCUACUCGCAACUUUACUCAAAUAUUGCCCCGCCCUGUAAAUAGAGAGGUACAUAUGUCAUUAUUCUAGACUAUGCUUCUCAAUUUAGUGUCUAUAAUUGGUCUUACGUACAGAUGUCAUUGAAAAUAAAAGAAAAAUAAAACAAAAAAGUAGAGUUAAAUGGGCUUGCCCCAAGCACGGGCCAUGACAAUUGUAAACACUUGUUAAUUUUCAUUUGGGAAAUCAUCACCAUUAUUUUCGCAAACAGUCUUAUUAAUAUCUAGAAUGUCAUGGUAAACAACGUUCUUGAUUUCUAGAAUGUGAUAAUAUCCCAUAUGUUUAUGAUUGAAAUACUAACAAAUUAAUAUACAAUUACUUUUCUACCAUUUUUCCAGGUAACGCCGACAAGUGCUACCCACAAUCUAGAAGAUCUCUUUGUAGAAAAGUGCGAUUUAUUGGAAGUGAUAUUUUUGGUUCAGGAAACCCCUUCUACUCAAGCAUUUGAUAAGCUGAGGCAAUUGAAUUUGUGGAGGUUACCAAUGCUGAGCCACAUAUGGGAAAAGGGUUUACAAGUUAGCUCAGGCUUUGGAAACCUGAGAUUACUAAAAGUACAGUCCUGUCACAAUUUGAGAUACUUGUUUUCACCGCACAUAGCCAAACUUCUUACCUACCUUGAGAGAAUAGAAGUUUCCUGGUGUAGUGCGAUGGAGAAAAUUGUUGGAGAGGCAGAAGGAGGAGGAGAAAGUAUUGAGGAUGAAUUGACAUUUCCGCACGUAAAUUCCAUCUUACUUGGGCGUUUACCCGAACUUGAAUCUUUCUGCUCUGAAGCUUAUACUUUGAAGUGGCCAGCCUUGGAGAAAGUCGAAGUUCAAAAUUGUCCAAAAUUAAAAGCGUUUGCUCCUGAGUCUCUAUAUGCAUAAGCAGCCAACAUGUGUCUAUGAAGCGUCCACGUGGAAAGAAAAGAAGGUAUGUUUUCAAUUCAACCAAGCACUCUGGUCGGUCACUAUAAAAUCAGUAGAAGAUAUAUGUAUAGCUUAAUAUAUUUUCAUGAAUUGGCGUUGCUUUUUAUUUUUCUUUGCCUUAUCUUUCUCAUGUCAUUAGUCCAUCUCCACGUGUUUAAGCUAUAUAUAUAUAUAUAUGUCUCGUUAAAAUGCUUAUUUAUAUAUGGCUCGUUAAAAUGCUUCUAAGGAUGGUAUCAUUUUUUGAAGUAGUACUUAACCAUUAAUAUUUUUCCAACAGCAUGCAUUUUCUAUUUUAAUCAUAGAUAAUAAUUUUUUUAUUCUUUAUUUUGCAUAAUCUUUGAGAAGAAUAUCAUCAGAAGCCAAGAAGCUAGGGACAACACUACAUGACAUGUUACGGUGCACAUCUACAUGACAUACCAAUUUCGUUACUGUUGAUAUUUUUGAUUAAUGUUCCUCAUAUCCUGCCAUUGCAUCUCUUUGAUCAGAUAAUUUAGUUAUUAUCUUUAGUUGUAUUAUAAAACUGGAUUUAUUUGGACCUUCCUUUUCGUAUGUAAUAUUACCAUAUUGAAUCUUUGGAUGUUUGGCUCAACUGUUGGUAUCUAGUUAAUCAAAUUACAAGCAUCAUAGUUUUAAAUUAUAUAUAGUUUAAAUUAUAUAUAUGUAUAAAUUAACCAAAGUUGUUAAUAGAAAGAUCCGUGUAACUCAUACUAAACAUUAGGGGUGGGCAUCUUAAACCGAAAUACCGAAACCAUACUCUAACUGCACCGUACCAUACCGAUUUCAUACCGUUUCAUUAGUUAUGGAGAGAUAUUCGGUACCAUACCGUACCGUACCAAUAGGGUAUGGUAUGGUAGCGGUAUCAAGAUUUUGGUACCUGUAUUUUCAAUCAAUUCAAUAAGAUGAUCCAAAGGUUGUAAUUGGCUCCACAAUCAAGAUCCCGCCAAAACUAAGUCCAUAACUAAAUGAAAAAAAAACAAAACAAAACUAGUCAUAACUCAGGAAGACGACAGAGACUUGCAUAAAAUAUAUAGAACUCGUUCCCAAACUGUUCCAAAGCAAUGGGGAGUUAGUCUACUGUACCGAACAUUUGAUAGAAAAUUGUUCACACUAAACAUUUAUAUUCUUCAUUUAUUACCACUUUAAACAUUUAAUUUGAAUUAAGAGAGAAAUUCCCCCCGUAUUUAAGGCAAUUCUGGAGUUGGUCUUUGGCAAGUAGAAUAAUGUCACAAAACACAGAAUUGUAAGCAAGCAAUUAACCCUAUAAGUGAGAGUGGUUGGCAGCAGUGGCGGAUCUAGGAAUUUUCAUUUCGGGGGUCAACGUGUAAAAGGUUAAAAAAAAGUCCAUACAAAAUAGACCUAUUGAAAUGAAACGAUAAUACUCUAAUUCAUAGUUAAUAGAUAAAACCAAACAAAAUACUCGUGUUCAUUAUCAAAGAGAACUACAUCAACUUUAAAAAAUAAACACACAUUGCAAUACACUGGAAAUAUCUCUAAGAAUGUGAUAAUAAACCAAAAAUUAGCAUAAUCCUCUUCGUCUCCCAAAGCGUCUCGACCUAUUCGACAUAAGAACUGGCAUAUAUUAGCGUAAUCCUGCUGAUUUUAGGGCAUUUGCGUCAUUUUUUAGGUCUGUCGUAGGUUUGACUUUGGGCUUUAUCUGCAUUUCUUUUGGGUUCUAGCUCCCAAACUUUGGGUUCUUAUGAGUAUUGUCUUAGGGGGAGCUUACUCAAGCAAAAUAUUUCUUCAAUACGUAAGAGUUAGGUUAUUCUUAUAAAACUCUUUGUGGAUUGAACCUCUAUGGUUUUUUACCUAGAUUGACCUUAGGUCCCUUCAUGCAUUCAUAUCACACAUGAAAAAUUAUUUUAUGUAAAAAUAUUGGCUAAGUAUGAAAAAUGGUUUUUCAGAAGAAUCUUUUUCUCAAGAUAAUUUUUGGCUGCUUUUAUUCCUUACACAUCAAAUAAGAAAACUUGAUUUUAUGGGAUUUCAGUAUGAAGUAUAUAUUGACUUAAUAAGCCAUAAUUUUUAGUCUAAAUCGUAUUUUGCACUAAAAUCAAAUUUUCAUAUUUUGAUUUGGUGGGAAUAUGAUUUCUAGUAUUUUUAUUUGAAUCCAAACGGGGGGUACUUUCUUAUUUACAUUCUUUUUACUUUCAUUUAUUUUAUAUUACUCCAUUUUGAAAAUGAAAAUAAAUAAAUGAAUCACAUCAUCUACCCAUUACUUCAUAAAAAAGAAUAAAAAUAAAUAAAUGCAGAAAAAUUGCUACCUCUUCUCUUUCACGCCAGUAACUUGCCCUCUUUUCCCCUUUCACUUUAUUGUCUUGUGUUGCACAAUUUGCCUCUUUUUUUCCACACCUCUCACAUUUGUCAACAUCUACUACCCUACCUACCAAUAUUCAUCCCUUUAUCUCUCUGUCUAUUUCCUCGUAGACACUCUCUUUGUCAUUGUUUACCUUUUUUUAUCUUUAAUCCCUCUCGGUCAGCGAGUCCACUCCUCUCUUUCGGUGGUCUCCCUUACUUUUGUACUAUCUUCUCAUAGCUGUUAUAAAAUAACUGGGAUAUGUGCGAAUAUUGAGCUGCACGUAAAGUAGAUGAGACACAGUAUUUAACGAGGUUCAGCUAUGCCUACGUCCUCGGAGAGCAGUAACAGUAACUUUUCACUAUGUAAAAUAAUAGGGCUACAACUUUGUGUUUACAAUAUGUAUGGCUCACUCAAUUUUCUCUCUUGGAGAAUUUCUCUCUUGCUCUCUUUCCUCUCAACUCACUCACCCUCAUUCUUCCUUCUCUUCCUCUUCUAUAUGUGUAAACUUCUCUUGAUGGAGGUAUCUAUUUAUAGGCCUAAGACAUUGGUUGUUCACCUCACAAUAUAAUUGGUAGACAACAUCAUUAAUAUUCUUCAAUCAACAACAUCAUUAAUAUUCUUCAAUCAACAACAUCAUUAAUAUUCUUCAAUCAAUUAGGUAGUGGUUUGGUUUGGUGGGUGUGUGGUUAGGUUUAGUGGGUGUUAGUUGGCUAUGUGGGCUUCACCUAUUCUUCUUUACUUAUUCUUCUUUACAACACUCCCCCUUGGAGACCACAUGUCCCUAGAUUGGUUGCCUCAUUAAAACCAUGCUUGGAGAAAAACCCAGUGAGGUAGAAAACUGAUGGAAGGAAGAAAAAAGAGUACAGCAAUCUGUAUAGCAUACUUCUGGAUGCUCCCCCUGAUUAAUAUCUCCCCCUGAUGUCUUCAUGACUAUCUUUUGGAGUGAGAAUCUUUCGGAGUGAGUGGAGGAUAUAGCCAUUAAUAAUUCUCGUAGUUGAGUAAGUAAAUAUAUUUCCAGUGAGCUAUCUCUAUGUAAAUCAUAUAAAUUUUCAGAGUCCGCGUUUCUAACAAAACUUGGGCUAUUUGUAAGUUCACUUGAAAGAAUAUGCCCGUACAUGGUGUUAUGCGGAGAUAGCAUCAAAUAUACCUCACAUCAUCCCAAAAUGAUGGUGAUGGAGUUGAGCCAUAUCUGGAAAAUAUGAUGUCCGGUCCAAUAUACUUCCGGAAAAUCAUUAAAGUGUCCAACGGAUAAUCCUCAUAAAAAUGCUUCAAUACUUUCUUAGUAUAAGCAAGAAUCUCGUUGGCAUAAUGCUCGAUCCUUAAGUCGAGACAAAUAUUUCUUGAACUCUUCAGAAGCUUUAAUGUGUUGCAAACACAUUAUAAUCAAUGUACUCACUGAGGUAAUUUAUGCAUAUUAAUAUUGAGUACAAAUUUUGUGCUUCAAGCACAUGUCCUUUAGGGACUUGCUUUAUGCAAUGUCAAUCCUCUCAACGGAUUUUGUUUAAAAGGGAUUAAACUUUAUGACACAUUAUAUAGCUUUAACCCAGCUAUUUAUACAUCUUUAGGAAAUCGCUUCUGGCGAUAUGCUCCGUGCAUUUAAUAACCCUUAAAGAUAAUAUGUUGGUCUCCGUAAUUGUGUAAUAAGGGGGGCACAAUUGAAUCUGUAAAUAUGGAGAAAACCCAACAUUCUUUGUUUCUGCCAGAAACAGUGUGUCAUACAAAGUAGGUAUAUUCCCUUUUAUUCUGAACACCCAAGUAUAAAUUUCAGUAUUAACAUCUUUUGGGGUUCGUAUUGUGGGUUUGUUCUUUCACGUUCAUUCUCAUCUAUAAUGGAAUUACCUCAUUCCAUUUUGGCCAAGGAUAUUGUCGACAUUUAAUAACUGAACGUGGUUCCAAUCAACACAGCCCAUUGAUGAUUUGAGUAGCUACUCCAAAACUAAAAAUUGUCAUUCAUCAAUUCAUGAUCUCAUCAUUCUCAUUUGCACGUGCAUGCAUCAAUUAUAAGCAUUUCUUUGCUUUUGGGUACCCAAGCCACUUCAUGGGGCUUUUAUUAUGUGAGAAUGUGGAUUAUAACCUCCAAUGGAGCGUUAUUUUACAGUCGGGCGUGGAUAAUCUCUAUUUUAGGGAGUUGGAACAUUUAGAACCCAUAUAUCUGUCAUGCUGCAGGCAUGCCACAGAUUAAUACAUACAUGUCAAUUAAUUUCUGGGACUAACCCAUACAUACGCAUUAGGCGUGCACAAUAUCAAUAUUGACAUGUCAAAGGAUUGUCCUUUCGGGACUUCAAUCCACAUCAUUUGCUACGCAACAGGCGUGCAUCAUAUUGAUCACUGCUAUACCUAUAUCCUGUUCUUAUGGGAAUUUAAUCUGUGUAGUGUAUUAUCAAUGUAUCCAACUUGCAAUCUGUAAAAUUUGCAUUAAUAAUUCAUGGAUACAUACAAGCCAUUCUUUUGGAACAGACUUAUCUCCCCAUUUGGUUACCUUUCAAGAUAAAAUAUCAAAUAAGUAUAUAAGCACAAAUACUGCUUACAUCCUUAGGUGGGAGAAACUUUUCUCAAGUAUCAUUCAAGCUCGUAUCGGCCCAGUAAAUAUAAUGUAGCGCUUGAUGAUCUAGUUAUAUCCUGCAAGAGCAAAAUCACAACUCUUUUCUCUGUCAAAAACAAAUAACCCUCAGAGUUAGGAUCACUCCAUGGAUUCUUUCUUCAGAUGUUCAUUCUAAAGAAAUAAAAUCUCUUAUGAACAGAGAGUUAUAAAAAGAGAAAAAAUGCAAAAAUAAUGUGAUAUUGAUUGCAAGAGAAGGUAAGCAAUCAAGGAAGAAAGCUGGUGGGAGCAGACAACAAGCUCAGCAAUCAAGGAAGGAAGCUGGUGGGAGCAAACAACAAGCUCUCAUUUCUUCUAGUCUAGAAGAACUUCCGGAGAUUAGAGCAUAAGGUUGCCUUCACAGUUCCCUGAUGUGGCGGAAACGUGAUCAGGGAUAGUCUCUCUUCCUGAAUGGAUGAUUAGAGAUAGUCUUGCUUCUCGGGCAUAUUAAGUGCUCACUGAUAAGAAAAACAAGUAGAUAUCGCAUCACUAGGUAUGGAGAAAAACUGGAUGUCUUCUGCAAAGAAAAUUUCGUUAGUAACACAUUUAUACACAAAUAAGAGGAAUAGGUAGAACCGGUGAAUUUCAAAUUAACCAUAGGAAAAUUGCGAGAUUCUCGGGGUGCUUUUGAAAAAAUAGCUCCGUGAAAUCCGCAAAGCAAGAUCGGCUUUUGACGAAAAUAAUACUUUGAAAACGCCGAAAGUGCCGACAAACAUUAAUGGAGGCCACGUGAAGUUUUGGAAUCUGGAAAGAAAAAGAGAAUAUGGGGAUCCGAAAAGAUAUUGGGAUCCUGAAAAACUGUAGCCAUAUUUCCUCCUAUAGAUAUUGCCUUUGCAAAACUUGAUUGGAGCAACUGCGUUUCAACUUAACUUCCUUCAUUUUCUGAAACUUUAGUUUUCUUAAGACUUUCUUCGAAACCUUCUUAAAAAUGGCUUCCUCUUCUUCCUGCCCAAAUUAUUUCAAUUUAAAUGAUACUCCCACAACAACCAGUGACGCCAAAGUUUGGCGUCCAUCCUUUGUAUCCCAAAAUCGUCAUCUCACAGUUAAUGAUUCUGUGAUGAUGAAUGAUGCUACUGCUGUCAUAGUAGCUAGGAAUUUCAUUACUCCAAUGGAUGAAAUGCUGUUAACAGGGAGGUCUGAGGAAGAGGCUAUUGAUGACUCAAUGGCUUUUAGCAUUCAGUGUGCUGCUUCUGUUUCUAACAUGGCUGAUCGUUUGCGUGCUAGAGCAGACGAGGUUGAGAGGCUAACAACUGAAAAUUCGUCUCUCCAAAGAAUGCUUCAUGAGUCUCAACAGGAGGUUGAGAAACUUAAAGGAGAGAAUAAUGCCUUGUUGAAACUGGUGAGUUCGUACUCUGUUGAUACACUGAGAAGGCUAGACAUGCUGCAGGUCUCCAAUGAAAGAAUUUUGGGAGACCACGAGAGGCUCAUGGCUAAGCUUAAGAGGCGUCGUCCUCUUCCUUCAGAAGCUUCCAGAACAUAAUGUAAUUUUAUAGAUUUUACAGGGCCUGCACCUUCAUUGCAGGUGGAAAAAUCUAUCUGUUGUAUGUUCCUUUCAUGUUAUAAUAAUUGCGCACAUUCUUAAACUUGCACUUGUGGUUUUUUUUAUUUUUUUUUUAUACGUCUUUUCAAAAUGACGGUUUGGAACCUUGUGCCUUAUAGGUUCAAAUAACCACAUCGACUCUCCCAAAUUUCAUAUUUCAAUGUAUGGAACUUUUGGCCUGGGCUAAACACAAACUCAGAAUUUAUUCGCCCUUUUCAAAUGGACAUGAAAUAUGAAUAGAGUAAAAGCCAUGCUAAUAUCUCAUAUAUUUGGGUUCAUGAGCUUCCGGCCCAGAUAUAACAAAAUGUGAGGGGAGCCUCAAUUCAUCAUUCUCUUAUGCCAAAGAAAUAUGUGGCGUACCACAAUUUGCAAUAAUACCUCAAGGGUUGUCCAUUUAAUUGUUGGAACUUCAGGUUCUCAACACUGUUAGAUUUUGAACCUCAAGCUAAAAUCACAUGUUCUCAUGGUAUGGACAUUUUUAAAAUUUUCUGUACAUAUUUCUGGACUUCAAGCCCUUACAUAAUUGUCCAUAUCUUGAGGAACUUCUGGCAUCUCAUUUAAUUGCUCAUUCAUGAGUUUAAGGAACUGCAGGUUCCCUUUUUGAAUAGUGAUGGUUUACCCAAAAUGGUUAAUAUUUAUGUAUACGUUACUAUUCAUAUAUCCGGUACUAUUCAUCAAGUCAUGAAUACGUAUCUAUUCAUGUGUACAGUACAUUUGCCAGUACAGUUAUCAUCCAUGUGUACGGCAUUAUGAACCAAUACGGUACUGUUACAUCAUUAAGGAACCCCAGGUCCUUAUUUACAUGUCAGGGAUCAAGGACCCUCAAGUCCAAUCACAUGUUUACAAAUAUAGUACCGGAGAGACUGCCAGCUCUCAUAUCAACGUCAUCAUCAAGGAUCUUCAAGUCCUGAUGUAAUUGUAUGAUGAAGAUCAAGGAACUUCUGGUCCUGAUCUGCAUACUGUAAAAACUCAUCAUACAGCACAAUUAAUCCAUAAAAUAAAUUACAGGUAAAUAAAUUACUGGUAUGGACGAUAAACCCGCACCAUACUUUAAAUAAAUAUAAAUGUGCGGUAAAAUAAAUUUAUAAAUUAAAUUGCUUGCUGUAUGGACGUUAAUCCCGCACCAUACUUUAAAUAAAUGUAAAUGUGCGGUAAAAUAAAUUUAUAAAUUAAAAUAAAUGUAAAUGUGCGGUAAAAUAAAUUUAUAAAUUAAAUUGCUUGCUGUAUGGACGUUAAUCCCGCACCAUACCUUAAAUAAAAUUAAAUGUGCGGUAAAGUAAAUUCAUAAAUUAAAUUGCUUGUUGUAUGGACGUUAAUCCCGCACAAUACCUUAAAUAAAUGUUAAAUGUGCGGUAAAGUAAAUGUGCUUGUAUGGGUAUUAAUUCUGCUCCAUACAUUUAAAUAAAAGUAAAGGCGUGGACGAUAAACCCGCACCACCCUUUUAAAUAGAUAAUGUUGUAUGGGUAAUAAACCUACACCAUACAGUAAAUAAAAUAAAUGUGGGGAUAAAAACCACCACAAAAAAAUAUAGAAGGUGAAACUGUCCAUAUAAUUACCAUAUAUAAGGAUAAAGUAAAGACAAUUAUUUGUGCAUUCAUAUCAACACCACAAUCAAAUAAUAUGAUAUUAUUAUACUAAUAUAUUAGUGGAAAGCAAGACAUAUCAUGUUGGCUUUUCUUCUUUUCACUUGCAAUUAAGUUGAACUUGUUGUGUAGAGAAAUAAUAAAAUAAUAAAAAAAAGUAAGAGGCAUAGAGCUUAUCCUUACAGUUGGUUUGCUCGUAUAUCUCUCUUGCAGACCACAGCUCCUCCACUACUUUUCUUCCUUACAUCGACAUAAGGGUUAGUAGUAUAGAUAAUAGUGCAACACAAAAAUUAUACCUGAGAGCUUCUCGUGUUGAUAACGUGUUAUAAAAUAACUGGGAUAUGUGCGAAUAUUGAGCUGCACGUAAAGUAGAUGAGACACAGUAUUUAACGAGGUUCGGUUAUGCCUACGUCCUCGGAGAGCAGUAACAGUAACUUUUCACUAUGUAAAAUAAUAGGGCUACAACUUUGUGUUUACAAUAUGUAUGGCUCACUCAAUUUUCUCUCUUGGAGAAUUUCUCUCUUGCUCUCUUUCCUCUCAACUCACUCACCCUCAUUCUUCCUUCUCUUCCUCUUCUAUAUGUGUAAACUUCUCUUGAUGGAGGUAUCUAUUUAUAGGCCUAAGACAUUGGUUGUUCACCUCACAAUAUAAUUGGUAGACAACAUCAUUAAUAUUCUUCAAUCAACAACAUCAUUAAUAUUCUUCAAUCAAUUGGGUAGUGGUUUGGUUUGGUGGGUGUGUGGUUAGGUUUGGUGGGUGUUAGUUGGCUAUGUGGGCUUCACCUAUUCUUCUUUACUUAUUCUUCUUUACAACAAUAGCAUUAUUUUCUUUCCUUUUUCGGUUCGCACCUCCUUUUGUUCCGCUAAUCUCAUUUUAAAAUGAGUGCUGUUAUUUCCACCCACAUGUCAUAUUUUUUCACUCACUUUAUCUUCCCACCCACCAUAUAAAUUUGCAAAAGGUAAUCCUAUUUUUCCGCCCACCAUAAAAUAUCCUUUACGGUGCAUCCAGCCAUUGUUUUUGUAAAUCAUCCAUAAUCAAUGUAUGAAUUUAAAUACUGAACACGAGUUUGGGAGUUGUCUGUGUAGAUAGAAACUGAAGAAUUGAAACUAACUUCAAAUUUGGGAAGAGUUGAAAACCAUAAACAUUGCAUCACAAAUCCAAUGGCGGGUAACAAAUUUGUUUUCUUGUAUUUCAGUUUCUUUGUACUUUAGUUUUACAUUUUUUUUUGGGUGUUAGUGCUCAUGUGGUUUUCCUUUCUGGAAACCUAACUUUGUAUGAUCUAUCUGUCCUCUUCGUUAAUAAAGCCUACUUUGAUCAAAACAGAAAAUCCAAUAGCGGGUAACAAGAACUUGCAGAGAGAGAGAGAGAGGCUGAGGUCGGGUCAGUAAGGAGAUGGUGGGGGUGGGUGGCAGUGAGAUGGUGGGGUGCUAGGGUUUGGAGAGGGCUGUUAGGGAUGAGUGGGUUCAUUCAAAGAGAGAGAUGGGAGAAGAGAGAGCGAAAGAGGGAGACGGAUUAGGGAAGAAUGUGAAGUCUGGGGAUGAUUUUUUAUUUUUAUGAAAAGCUAGAGAUGAAUUUUCAAUUUUAAAGCUUUUCCCUUAGUUAAAGUUUUUUUUUUAAAAAAAAAAUAUUUACAUUUUACAUUUUAUAAAGGGGUAAAUUUGUCUUUAAAAUUUUGAAGAUAAGGUGAGUGGGGAAAUAAGAUAAGGGAGUGGAAAUAUCAGCACUCUUUAAAAUUGACCACAUGCCUUUCCUAUGCUUUACCUUUUUUUCUUAUUAUAAAAAAAGUGGCAGGAGUGUCACCUCUCCAAGCCGAGCACGGAUUAAGAGAAAGCUCUACUCAAGAGAUUCGUUACCACCCAUAAUUAAACUUAAUCUGCACAUAUCACCCUUAGCCACACAUUUUGCAAAUACAAUCUAUAAAUCAUACAUGAAAAACAAUAAAACAGAAAUUAAACUAAACUAAAUGACUAUGAAUAUACCGAUAGCGAGUGUAAUCGUCGUGGUGCAACAAACCAUGCUGCAUCUGAGCAGAUCAAGAGAUCCAAUACUGUAAAAAUCAAAUUAAAAAAGAAAGAAGACGACGAAGAUGUAGUGAUUUGAAAAACAAACGGAUCAGAGUGCAAACCGUUAAUGGAGAAUUUAGGGGAAAUCUGAUCGGCACUGUUUGACUAAGGGUAAAAGAAUCAUUUCACAAAGGGAUUAGGUCUUGAAAAUCACUUGAAAAAUAGUCACCGUUGCCAUAAUUGCAACAGCAGCAGUGGAUUUCUGGCCCAGUUUCUUUAUUGAGCUCCUUGAUAAUUCUUAUUGAAUUUACAGUUUCCAACACCUAAUAUGAGAAACAAGCUUCAAAAUCUCCUCAUCACGCUCAUCAAAACCCUCGCACUCCCUCACAUCCAGAAGCACAAGCUCUCUGCACUCCUUCAGCAACAUCACAAGAUCGUUCUUCUCCAGGCAUGAGAGCCUGAAGCACAGGUACUUCAAAUUAAAUUAUUUACAAUCAGAAAUAAAUUAUUAAAAACAAAUGCACAUACAAUUAAAGAUAAGAAUUCCCAUCGUUUAACCCAAAAAAAAAAAAAACAAAACAAGAAGCACCCAAACAAAUAACAUACUAGUUAGUCACAAUAAAAGUGACUUUUUGCCUUUUUUUCGUUUUUGGGUCCAUUCUGCCGACACCUACUUUUUAUUCUUCUUCUGCUCCUUUUCUCUUUCAUUUUCCUAUCACCACCAACGUUCAUCUUUUUCUUCUUCUUCUUCUUCAUAAAACCCAAACUCGAGGGUACUAUUCAUCACUCUAGAAGUCCAAUUUCGAAAGCUCAAAUAAAAAAACUUCAUUCAUCAAAGUUGUUCAUCUGUUCGAAUACUACAACAUACCCAAACAUGAGCAUCAUCAGACCGGUCUAGCUACCUCGAACCGGCUAUGACAUUUUUAUGUUUAUCCAUGGCUGGUGAGUUUUCUGCAGCUCGGUUUUCAACAGUUUUCUUUAAUCUCCAUUGCUUGUUUGACAAAACGUCCUUCUCUAAGGUUGUUCCUCAGUUGGAGAACUUUGACAUCCAAAAAUCAGAGCAAUCCAACUACUCUAACUAUGUCUGUGGUAAGCAUGUUCGUCACUUCCUCGGAUUCUGCUGUUAUCACUGUAAAGUACCUUAUUCACUCUUGUAUGUCACUUUUCCCUUGCUCAGAUGACAAUACUUCCUUCAUGAAGCUUGUUCAGAAUUCUUUU